Molecule: long non-coding RNA, 3509 nt
Filed under: Homo sapiens (human)
Lineage: Eukaryota; Metazoa; Chordata; Mammalia; Primates; Hominidae
Description: HSALNT0152464
Source: RNAcentral
GCCUCCCAAAGUGCUGGGAUUACAGGCGUGAGCCACCGCGCCCGGCCAGUGCCUGAUUUAAGAGCUAUACAUGCAUUUACUCGCUUCAUCUUAACAACGCUGUGAGAUAGGUAUGGUAGUAAUAUCAUCCCCACUUUUUGGAUGACGAAACUGAAGUUUGGGGAGGUUACGUAACUUCUAUCACACAGUUAACUCGUAGCAGGUCUGGGGGUCUGGGGUUGGCACCCUGCGGUCCUGCUCCAGAGCCUGUGCACUGUGCUGUACAGCCUCUUUAUAUCCCAAGUCUUUCCUGGUGGUAGUGUUUCAUGUUUGUGAUUAUGCCAAGUUAGCCUUAAUGUCUAUUUGGUCAGAACAUCCUUACUGGCUAACAGCAUCUCAUUUUCAACUUUCCUAGUCUCACUGAGGUACCACAGGCCAAUUCCGUACAAACUCAUUCCUUAGCUGGUAGAAUAGCUAUCUUGGGUUUGAAUUUCAAAGUCUCACGUAAGCACCCUUAAUUGUUUUUUGUUAACAAUUGUACCCACUGAUAUCAAGGAACAAUCUGAGACAAAGGAAAAAGUAAACAGGGCUAUUAGAAGGAAUUUAAUGGUUUCUUCUUCUCGCCAUCUGUCUCAGAAUCAGGAGGGCAAAGGCUUCGGAUUGGGGCUUCUUUGUGCUGAUGAGGACAGACACCCAGAGGGCAGGUCCAAGCAGCUCUCUGCCUUCCAAGGCAGGUGCGCAUGAAGCAGGGAUGCCCCUCGUGAAAUGUCAAGGUAGAAGCAACCCAUGAGGAAACUCUAUCUUGGGGUCUAGUCCUGAUGGAUCAAGGGGUGGCCAGAAGUUUGCUCUGGGUCCCAGUUUUCAGAAUAUUGACGGGGAUGGAGGUCCCACAAUACCCACCAUUCUGUGUGGUCUCCUGGCUCAUCCUCUUCACAUGGUCUUCAGUAUGUCAGAUACAAUUUCUCAGAUCUCUAGGUCAACCCUCAACUUAUGUUUAACAUUUUAAACUAACAUCCUCUGCCAUCAACUGAAACUGUCUCAUAAGAAUAAACUUAUGUUAGAUGAGAGAAAUAUAUUUUUCUGAUACUUAGAGGUACUUAUUCUUAGAACUUUAUUACUCUAAUACAUCAUGAUCUAUACUGUUAAAUCCAACUAAAAUUUGUUCUGAGAAAGCCUUGGUAUUAAUACUUGCUUCCUUGAGUUCUUCAGUCUGAAUUGUAACUUAACUUAGUGUGUAACAAACUGAAAACCUGAGGAGUUUCUUCUGUAACAAAAGCUGAGCCUCAGCCCAUCACUCUAGCCACACUUCAACCAUUGACAGGCAGCCAACUGUUCAAACUCCCUUAACAUACUGGCAAAGUCAAGCUGGAACCAGUCCAGCUGUUUAUGUACCUCAUUUUCCUUUUUCUUUUUUUGGUCCAUAAAUCUUAUCUGCUCAUGUGGUAGCCCCAAAGUUUCUCUGAAUCUGUUUUGAUUCUGAAGGCUGUUCGAUUUGCAAAUCAUUUUUUUCCUUGCUCAAUUAAACUCUGUUAAAUGUGUCUAAAGUUUUUCUUUCAUCAGAUCUGGAGUAGAAGUGAAGAGUGAAGUACAAUUCCAGUGACUCCUUGGAACAGCAGGCAACGAAGCGGGGCACCUGCAGAGCCAAUUGUGUGCGCUCUCUUGUUUGUAACUGGAGGUUUGUGGAGCCUGGAAAUUGGGUCUUCGGGAAAUAACAUCAGAGGAAGACUGCCCUUGAACCCUGUUGGAAAGGACCACACCAAGUUCUUCUCACACCCACACCUGUAACCUUGGGUCCACAUCUCACAACACAAAAGGGCCCCUUCAGACUCUUAGAACACCUGUUGGAGACUUUAAGGUAAAGCUGACCAGGAAUACUUCUCCCCGAAAGUGGACAGCAUCCUAGAUGCGGACAGCUUUCCCAAGAUCACAGAUCAAGACUUUUCUGCCAUUAUGAAAGCCUUGUGCUUUUUGCUUUUUUCCUCUAAUCUUUUAUCCCAAUACUUUCCUUUUUCCUACAGGAAAAUCCAUGGGACCAUAAUCACUAGAUGGCAUUAGCUCUACCUUAUGUUCUAGCACAAAACCAGAGUAACUGUUGGGUUUGUGGGCAAAUGCCAAAAAAUCAGAAAACAAUUCCAUUGAUGCCUCUCCAUGUUCCCAAUGGCAGUGAUUCAAACUCCAAAGGAGGAGGGAGUGGAAACCUAUCCUUGAUAUUCUAAAAAUGACUGCUUCAUUUGCUUUCCUGCACUCGCUAGAAACAGCACUUUAACUUUUCCAAUGAAUAACCUGGUUGUUACCAAACAUAGAAAACCUAUCCAAGUGAUGCCUGCAAAAGGUAUAUUGUGCUUCUAGACAUCACGCACUUGAGACCUGGGAAUUAGCUAUAUGGAUACAAGUAAUUGCUUGUAUAAUGUUACCAGAUUAAAUCCAGUAGGAGGUUGGGAACAGUGGCUCAUGCCUGUAAUUCUAGCACUUUAGGAGGCCAAGGUGGGCAGAUCACUUGAGGUCAGGAGUUCCAGACCAGCCUGGCCAACAUGGUGAAACCCUGUCUCUACUAAAAAUACAAAAGUUAGCCAGGUAUGGUGCUGGGCGCCUGUAGUCCCAGUUACUCCAGAGCCUGGGGCAGAGAAUCGCUUGAGCCCAGAGGCAGAGGUUGCAGUAAGCCGAGAUCGCACCACUGCACUCCAGCCUGGGCGACACAGCAAAACUGUCUCAAAAAAAAAAAAAAAGAAAAGAAAAAAAAAUCCAGUAGGGUCAUUUUUUUACUAAAUGUGGCUAUACACCCUUACCGCAUGCUAUAAACGAACCCAAAAAAGUACAUUACCCACUGAACUUUGUUCAGGAGCUAUGCAGAUUUACAGACAAAUAAAUUUAACUGACCCUUGCACAAAUGCAACUAGGUAACCCUCUUUUCCAAUCCCCAUGGGCUUCUAUUGGGUCUGAGGAAAAUCUGCUUCCUGUCUGGUUUGGAUGUUGCUAUUUAGCCUGGCUCACUCCGGCCAUUCAAAUAGCUUCCCCUACAAAUUCCCAUAACAGCUCCUAGGAUCAGAGGCCAAAAUAAUCAAUAACUGAAAUUACCCCCAACCUUAAAAUAGAUAAACUAUUUUCAACUAAGAAGAAACUCCGGUGGGGCUCCUGGGGGCUCACUUUUGGCAGUAGUGGGGUAUCAGUUGUAUAGAAUUUAAAGAUAAUCUGUAAAUUGGGAAAAAUCUUGGAUUUUGUAGACAGUCAGACCUCCCAGGGGUUCAGAUGGGUAGAUGUCCCUCUCUGAAAGGUGGAUAACAAUAUAUGCAUUCAACCAAAACACUUAAUGGAACAUCAUGCAACUUUAGGGCUCCUUUUUGCUCUAGUUGGGGGCUUAUAUUUGGUACUGAGGAAAACUGAGUAUCUCUCCCCUGAUUUUGUUACUACAGAAGGCUUAAUUUAAAAGGUAGCCUUAGAUACUGCCACCAAACAUACUAAGGAAAUUAAUCUCCUAAAAGAAGGGAACACGGCUAGGUGCAGUGGUUCACGCCUGUAAUCCCAGCACUUUG